CCCUUUGUGAACAUACCUACAACUGUUGCUUCGGCGGGUAGGGUCCCCGUGACCCUCCCGGCCUCCCGCCCCCCCGGGCGGGUCGGCGCCCGCCGGAGGAUAACCAAACUCUGAUUUAACGACGUUUCUUCUGAGUGGUACAAGCAAAUAAUCAAAACUUUUAACAACGGAUCUCUUGGUUCUGGCAUCGAUGAAGAACGCAGCGAAAUGCGAUAAGUAAUGUGAAUUGCAGAAUUCAGUGAAUCAUCGAAUCUUUGAACGCACAUUGCGCCCGCCAGCAUUCUGGCGGGCAUGCCUGUUCGAGCGUCAUUUCAACCCUCAAGCUCUGCUUGGUGUUGGGGCCCUACAGCUGAUGUAGGCCCUCAAAGGUAGUGGCGGACCCUCCCGGAGCCUCCUUUGCGUAGUAACUUUACGUCUCGCACUGGGAUCCGGAGGGACUCUUGCCGUAAAACCCCCCAAUUUUCCAAAGGUUGACCUCGGAUCAGGUAGGAAUACCCGCUGAACUUAAGCAUAUCAA
RNAcentral lists this ribosomal RNA (517 nucleotides) under Colletotrichum theobromicola. RNAcentral's name for it is "eukaryotic LSU rRNA". The stretch from base 156 to 309 matches the Rfam family "5.8S ribosomal RNA". Lineage: Eukaryota; Fungi; Ascomycota; Sordariomycetes; Glomerellales; Glomerellaceae. The record is from RNAcentral.